Molecule: long non-coding RNA, 1462 nt
Organism: Mustela lutreola (European mink)
Lineage: Eukaryota; Metazoa; Chordata; Mammalia; Carnivora; Mustelidae
Exons: 6
Source: RefSeq, a predicted model, not a curated record
CGGGCUGACGGGAGACCUCCGGCUCUGCGGCUGCUGCGGCGCCGCGGGCGGCGGGGGCUGCUGCUGAGAGAGAGAGGGAGAGCGAGAACAAGCAAGGGGAGCAGCAGAGGCAGAGGGAUAAGUAGUCUCCCUGCUGAACAAGGAGCCCGAUGUGAGACUUGAUCCCAGGACCCCAGCAUCACGAUCUGAGCCAAAGGCAGACACCCAACCGACUGAGCCACCCAGAUUUUAUUUAUUUAUUUGACGGAGAAAGAGACAUCGAGAGAGGGAACACAUGCGAGAGGGAGAAGCAGGUGUCCUGCCGAUGUGGGGUUCAAUUCCAGGACCCUGGGAUCAUAACCUGAGAUGAAGGCAGAUGCUUAACCGACUGAGCCACCCAGGUUACCUCAUGUUCCAUGGAGCUCCAGCUAUCAGAACCAUAUCUCAGGCAUCAGGAGAAAGAAAAGGUGAUGGAGAAAAGGGAUGCUCCUUCAAUGAGUAGACUGAAGAUUAUGAAAAAGGCAGAGCUAAGACAGAGAAGAGAACCAGUAUGCACUGAACACCAUUACAAACAUCUCAUUUAAUUUUGACACCUUGUAUGGAUGCUUACUUUGUUCUGAAUUCUAGUGAGUAUUUUUCUAGGACCAGAAUGACUGACUUUCACCUGAUGGUCAACCAAAUUUUCUUUGUCUCCUGGGAUGUGUUUAUCAGAAAAAUGGGCCAGACAGUAGACAAAGCCAGUUCAACUUUGGGGAUUUUGCUCAUGGAUCAUCAUGCACAAGGGAUUAGAGCACAUGGAUUAGAAUUUUCUUUCUCAAAGGAAUUAUUGACCUUUCUGGCCCUGGAGAAGGACCCAAGCACAUCUUUAUAUUUCUCUCUGCUAGGACAUUCAGUUCUUGAACUUAAUAAUUCUAAAUACAGAGGUCUCUCAUUUAAAUAAAAACAUCACAAAUCAUAUACAGUGUUCUGGAUUUAGAGGGGAUAAAGGGAAUCUCCUUCGGAUGUGUAAUAUGUUUGAGAGCUGCAUUAAGAUGUGAAGAUAUAGAAAAUAUGGAAUAAGAACAAAAAAAGACACUCUAGAGAAAAUAAAAGUCUACAAGUGUGCAGUGAUCCUCAAACGAAUUAAUCAAGUAAAAUCUAUAGAUUUCAAGACAUGAAUUUCACACAAUUGAUAGAAAAUAGAAUGAAAUAGAAAUUGUUACACCUGUAUCCUACGCAAAUAGAUUAGAAUGCAGACACACACUCACAGCCCUAUCUUCCCAUCUGAUCACUCACACAGAUGAAAGGGAUCCAAAAACACUGUUUUCUCUCUCCCAUUUCUUUUAUCUUAAUGAUAUGUAGUAGAAAUUUUCAUAUUAGUACCUACUAUUAUUUUUAUAUUAUUCUAGCACAGUCUUUCUAAUGGUUCAAGGUAUUUCAUUGUAUAAAUGUAUCUUAAUGUAAAUCUACAAUCGCCUAUAAAUAAACAUGAAGAUUGUUUUCA